AGCAGCAUCACCUGAGAGCUCAUUUAAAAUGCAGAUUCCUGGGAUCCCUUCUAGACUUUCUAAUUAGAAUCUGCAUUUUAAUGAGAUCCCAGGUGAUUCUCAG
RNAcentral lists this microRNA precursor (103 nucleotides) under Marmota monax (woodchuck). Lineage: Eukaryota; Metazoa; Chordata; Mammalia; Rodentia; Sciuridae. The record is from RNAcentral.